AACGAACGCUGGCGGCAUGCCUAACACAUGCAAGUCGAACGAGACCUUCGGGUCUAGUGGCGCACGGGUGCGUAACGCGUGGGAACCUGCCCUUAGGUUCGGAAUAGCUCCCCGAAAGGGGUGCUAAUACCGGAUAAUGUCUUCGGACCAAAGAUUUAUCGCCUUUGGAUGGGCCCGCGUUGGAUUAGCUAGUUGGUAGGGUAAAAGCCUACCAAGGCGACGAUCCAUAGCUGGUCUGAGAGGAUGAUCAGCCACACUGGGACUGAGAUACGGCCCAGACUCCUACGGGAGGCAGCAGUGGGGAAUAUUGGACAAUGGGCGAAAGCCUGAUCCAGCAAUGCCGCGUGAGUGAUGAAGGCCUUAGGGUUGUAAAGCUCUUUUACCCGGGAUGAUAAUGACAGUACCGGGAGAAUAAGCUCCGGCUAACUCCGUG
Molecule: ribosomal RNA, 433 nt
Filed under: uncultured bacterium
Lineage: Bacteria
Description: partial 16S ribosomal RNA
Rfam family: Bacterial small subunit ribosomal RNA
Source: RNAcentral